GCAAUCUCUUCAUCAGUGUGCUGGGGCUUUUUAAGGAGCUGCAGGAUGACUACUCUUUAUUCCACCGUUAACCUCACUGGUUGUACGAAGCCGUUUGACCUUCUUGUGCUGUUCCUUGAAACUUUGAAGUGUUUCUCUUGAUUCUUUGUUUUAGUUUUUGGCUCUUUGUGCUUGUAGUUUAAAUAAUUCUCUGAUGACUUUGGACACCAUCAGCAAACCUUCAUCAGUCCCCCUGCUCUCCUGCCAUCCACACAGACCGAACCCUUUGGGUUCGCUCUUCCUCACUCUGUCAGGAUCAGUCCACCUGCCUUGAUGUUAACUCAUCUGUCAUUUUCCUCCAACUUCAGAUUUAUUCACAACUUUGUGUUGGUCUCUCGCUGACGUUUACAGUUUUACUGCGACAAAACGAGAUCUGCUCACAAUGAUCUCAGAGCUGCGACGGCUGCACAGGGAGGGCUGCGGCAGGAAAUGUAAAUGGAGAACAAAAGUCACAUUAUAGCUCCUGGGUAAACAGAUUUCUUUCCCACGUCAGACUGAGUGGUCGCAAUCAUGCAAAACAUUUCUUUCGCUUGGAGCGGGGCUGCACCUCAAUCACUCUGUCUUCAUCCAUUCACUUCAAGAUCCCAAAGACAUCGUGUUUAAGAUGGAAGGCGACGCUGCACUGUUUCUCCCAUCUGAGGGCCAACAGCACAGCCCCAAGGAGGCCAGAGAGGAUAAGAAGCCCGUUUAGAGAAUCUGUUAUGUCGGUACCUUUGUCUUUCCAUUCAUCUCUCUGGGGAGGCUGCCGAAAAGGUCACACAGACUUUAUCGUUUGAUGAGUGAUUCUCUGUUCAAAACACCACUGAAGCCCCAGCAUCUGCUUCCUGACUCUGACUCCUAAGUGUUUUUAUCUAAUGAGGCACCAAACUCGCCACCUCUCACCUUCACAUUUUCCACUGUUUUUAACAUUCCUUUUUGGUCCUUGUACCUUUGCACUUCCACCGUCUCUCCUCCUCUUUCAACCUGUAUUUUUUAACCUUUCCUGAUGUCCUGUUAUUCACAUCAUUCCGGGUUUUUCUCGCCUGCCUUGUGCUGGUCUUGAUUCUUUAUUCACCACCCUUCCUUACCUUCUCCUCUCCUCCUUUGCUGACAAAGAGCUGCUGAUUGCCUGGAGAUUGAUUAGGAUAAGGGGUACACCUAGUCCCCGAAAUUGGAUUGGAAGCCUUUUGGAGAGGCUCCUGAGUUAGAUUUUUCUCUACUUGCUUUAUAAAAGCCAGAAGUCGAGCAGAAUCAGAAAAUAAUGGGUGUUUUUUAAAAGUGAAAAGGGUGCAUAAAGUCUGCAUAUCGUCUGCAGAGCAUGGACUCUCUGUAACACUGUUAGCAUACAGUUAUAAGUACAGGCACAGAGCGGUAUGGUCUGUUAUGACUGCACAAACACAUAAAAAAACAGAUUUCUGUGCAAGUGCAAUGCAAAUGUUCUGCAAAACUGAAAGCCGGUUUCAUAAUUCAUUGUUUGGCAAAAGUAUUCAGACCUCUUAAACAUUUUUACAUCUUGUCACGUUACAACAGCAAACUUUAAUGCAUUCUAUUGGAAUUUUAUUGGGAUACACCAACUCAUAUCAAUGAGUAGUUGGGGAGGUGAAAGAAAGAAUUUCAUACCUCUGACAGAUUUAGAUUUAAUAUUUUCAUUCAGCCGAGUUUAUCUCUGAUUGGAAAUGGAAAAAGGCAUCUUUCGAGAAAGACAGGAAAAUGUGAAAGCGUUAAUUUUUUAGGUUUUAUUGUAAAUGGCAUGUUGAAAAAUUAUUUAUACCCUUCUCAAUAAUCACUGGAAAACCUUUACUGACGUUAAACCAAUCAAAUCUUUUUUUAUAGACAUUUAACUGCUGAUGAGCUUUUUACAUGGUUUUACUGUUAUUCUCAUUAUUCAUGUUUAGUGAUGAACUCUAAGUCUUUGAGAUUGGAAGACUUUGCUUUUUUCUGUCACCUCCUUCACAGAUUCUCUGUCAAAUUAAAGUUAGGACUAUCUUAAACCCAAAUCUGCCAGGGGUAUAAAUAAUAAACUGUACAAAGUUUA
Poecilia latipinna (sailfin molly) is the source of this 2053-nucleotide long non-coding RNA. RefSeq lists it as uncharacterized. The transcript has 3 exons. NCBI's taxonomy places the organism in Eukaryota, Metazoa, Chordata, Actinopteri, Cyprinodontiformes, Poeciliidae. The record is from RefSeq and is a predicted model, not a curated record.